GGGAGCUACCCCUCGGCCGCCUUCCAGCUGGGGAGCCGGCUGGAGCGCGGGCUGCCCUCCUCCUCCGCUGACAAAGACGAGGAAACAAAGGCCCAAAGAAGAGUUCCGCCCGGGACGGAACGUGGCAUAGCUCGCAACAGAACCCAGUCUCCGGAGAUCCCUCUCCUCUGCACCACUUGGACGUUCCACGGAGAGGCAGCGGUGCGCGGGGCGACGGGGAGCUGCCAGAGAAGUCAGUGGUGGGCAUGAGUGGGUGAGACGGGCCCACUGAGGUUUCUGGCAGUGGGGAGCCAUGGAAAGUUUCUGAACAGAGAAGCACUUAUUGGGAACUGUCAGAGCUAUGCUUCAGGAGAUGAAUCUGGCAACAACGUGGGUUAAUAUUAAUGCCCUGUACAUCCUGAGUACAUGUUUCCAGAAAGAGGUGAUCCAGGAGGCUGCCAAGUGGCCUGCAGGUGACAUCCAGAGGGCAGAAAAUGCCCAUGCAGGUCCACGUGUGGGUCCUUAAGCCCCUUGAGGAAAAGGGAGGAGAAAAGGACAAAGAAGGCUCUCCCUUUCCCUUGGAUCCCCUUCUACUCCCACAUGCCUAGUGGGAGCCUCCC
This 599-nucleotide long non-coding RNA is filed under the name Homo sapiens (human). RNAcentral's name for it is "non-protein coding lnc-RNF26-1:2". The record is from RNAcentral. Lineage: Eukaryota; Metazoa; Chordata; Mammalia; Primates; Hominidae.